This 1251-nucleotide long non-coding RNA is filed under the name Gossypium raimondii (Peruvian cotton). RNAcentral describes it as "long non-coding RNA (GRAI_LNC005453)". Lineage: Eukaryota; Viridiplantae; Streptophyta; Magnoliopsida; Malvales; Malvaceae. The record is from RNAcentral.
CAGUGAUCGUUGUUGUGAGAGGCGUCGGGGUUGCGAGGCGCAUGCUCAGGAUGAGAGAUAUGGAGGUACGGGUAAAUCUGAUGCAAAUACGUCUCAAUGCGAUUGUUUCGUGCUGUUUGCUGUUGCUGAUUAGGAUAAAUAUCCUCAAGUGUAAUUGUAUGCACAAUCGCAGUAGUAGAGUGAUUAGCUAGAGGACUGGUAACGGUUCGCAGUAAUGGUGGACGACCAUCAAUGACGAGCGAUUGCAAUUGGAGAGAAUGAAGAUGAGGUCCUAGUGUUUUUUUGUUUCUUGAAAUGAGCGGGUACCUUACUUUUUCCUCAUGUGUUCAACAUUAUGUACCUAGUGACGACCAAUUGUCAAUACAGCACAAAAUCGUCAAUAGAGUAUACAAUUGCUUGUAACCAAAGGGUAUGUAGAACCUUCCCACAGAAAUGAAAAACUAAUUCAAUAUUGACAAGAAUCUAAAACAUGGCUACCAGCAACAGUAAAACCUCCACAAAUCGCACAUGAAAAAAUCACAACCAACACAUUAAACAAAAUAAAUUAAAAAACAAUACUAAAACUAUUAACUACAAAUAAAAUACUAAACAUGUUGUAGCAAAACAAAACUAAAAUAAAGUAAAUAAAUAAAAGUCAAAAUAAUAAAAAUUAAUAUAAUAAUAAUAAAGAUAUAUAAUAAAUAAAAGGAACAAAAGAAAAAUGGGUUUUCAAUGUGGUAGGUACUGAUGGUGGCACAAACAGUGGUGGUGGGAGGGACAGCUGGCGAGGGAGGACGAGACUUCGAUGAGGUCUAGUCGACGGGGUAACGGUGGAGGUUGACGCUAGGAGGCUGUUGGUUGGGUGUUAAAAGAAGGGGAAGAGGAAGGAUAGGUCGAGGAAGAGGGAUGCAGAACGGAGGUGUGGGCUUUGCGCCGGAGCUGGUGUUCGGACCGAUGACGGAACAAAGGUGGCUGAUGGCGAGGGGAAGGAGAAGGGAAAAGAUCGAAAAAAAAUGGAAGAAGGAAAGGGGGGAUGAAGACGGUGGUUGUGGUGGUGUUGUGCAAAGAAAUGAAGGGGAGAGAUGGGUGUUUGGUGGUUGGUUGUCAAACUGGCAAAAGGAGGAUUUGACCGGCGGUGAGGUGGCAAAUCGACGGUGACUGGGUUUUAUGGGGGCUGGUGAAUGACUAAUGUUUGAGGAAGAAGGAGAAGGAAGGAAAACUAUAAAAUAAAAUAAAAUAAAAAAAUAAAAGAUAAAAAGAAAGAAAUCUAGC